UACAGAGGGUGCAAACGUUGUUCGGAAUUACUGGGCGUAAAGCGCGUGUAGGCUGCUCUGCAAGUCGGGUGUGAAAGCCCCGGGCUCAACCUGGGAAGUGCACUCGAAACUGCAGAGCUCGAGUUCUGGAGAGGAAGGCGGAAUUCUCGGUGUAGAGGUGAAAUUCGUAGAUAUCGAGAGGAACACCGGUGGCGAAGGCGGCCUUCUGGACAGUGACUGACGCUGAGACGCGAAAGCGUGGGGAGCAAACAGG
RNAcentral lists this ribosomal RNA (253 nucleotides) under uncultured bacterium. Its description in RNAcentral is "partial 16S ribosomal RNA". It matches the Rfam family "Bacterial small subunit ribosomal RNA", at positions 524 to 776 of the family's 1533-position model. The record is from RNAcentral.